CGAGCCUUCUCCCGGUGCCGAGCCGGCCAGGCACCGCAUCCCCUUGCGUCCCGCUGACCUGUCAGUCCACCUCACGGUUGGAGCCUGCGGGAGCUGAGCGGGGACUCCUCGGCACCCCUUCCCCGCUCAGGCCCGGGAGCCCGCGUGUCGGGCCGUCAGUCGGUCCCUAUGCCGCGCCGAGGGACAUGGCCUUCAUUUGGUCUGAUUUUCUGAGUCUCUCAAACUGCUGCUGCAGGGUCCUUGGAGACAGCUCGUUUCUCCUGGAAGAAUCGCCAAAGUCAGCUUCAGCAGCUCACAAACGUCUUCAUUGCUCUGAGCACAGCGCUAGGCAUAGAAUUGGAUUCAGCUGAUACUUGCCACCUGGCUUAGAGAACAAGGACUCCAGCUCCAGCCCCAGCUGCGGCACCUGCUAGUUCUGUGACCUAGGGUAAUAAUUCCCUUAAUCCUUGCAACUGUCUGAAGAGGUAGGAGAUGUUAUGGUCCCCGUGACAGAGAUGAGGAAACCAGCACACAGCCGGCUGAACUAACUUGUCAGAGAAUGAGUGAUGGACCCAGGGUUCAGAUCCAAGCAGUCUGCCUCCAGGACCAGGCUCUCACUGUGGCUGCCUCUCCGGGACUCCUGCCUCUUCUCCGUGGAAGGUCCCGCAAGCUGACAGACAGCGUCCUUCACUUUUUUGUGUCUAUGUGGUUUGCUGCUUGUGGAAUCUCAGGCUGAGGCGCCUGCAGUCAGAGAACUAAAGACAUUCUGGAGCUGGGAGGAGCAGCCUUCCUUGCCUGCAGUUUCUUUGCUGGGAAGGCAGAGGAAGCCAGGAGAGGCCCGUCACAAUGGACUUCACCACUUCAUCGGCCCAGGUCGCGAUGCGGAAGCACCGAGAAUCAUCGGAGCUGGAAAGUAUAGUCCCCUGGUGUGCUAGGAAAGAAGAGGAGAAGGCCUUUUGGCCUCUGCCACGUCUCUUGACUUGGACACCUUCCCACUGCUGCUGACAGCAAUCAGACACCUGCUCCCUGAGCCCAUGGCAGCCAGCAUGCCUCUUCUACAGCACUCGCCACCCUCUCUCAGUUCCCUGCAGGUAGAAGGGCUUAGGAGCUCUCCUCCUGGAGCCUCACCACCGGGCCCCAGACCACCUGGGGCUCUGGAACAUUCCAUUCUUUUGGUGCAGAGCUGCGCAGGGUGCAUCUGGACUGAACUGUUUCCACCAGCUGUGGCGAGAGAAGGACAAACACUGACAGUGUUUAAAAACUUUGAUGUUGCUGUGACAUCCAAGCACAUAUGGUGUUUUAUCAUUUUUUCCCCAUUUCACUUUUCUAUUGUCAGUCUGUGAUGGACCAAGAAAAAAUAAAAACCAACCAGUCCUUCAUCACAGAUGGUUCGAGAAGCAUCAGUAUGGUAGCUAUGGAGUCAGAAAAGCUGGGCUUUAUGGCAGCUCCAUCUCUUGCUAGCUGGUUGACCGUAAUUAAAUUGCAUCAUCUCUCUGUGCCUUGGUGCCUUCACCUAUGAAAUGGGCAUAACAGUGCCCACCUGUGACGGCUGUGGGAUGUCAGUGAGGG
Equus asinus (donkey) is the source of this 1548-nucleotide long non-coding RNA. The record is from Ensembl. Lineage: Eukaryota; Metazoa; Chordata; Mammalia; Perissodactyla; Equidae.